This 2066-nucleotide ribosomal RNA is filed under the name human gut metagenome. RNAcentral's name for it is "bacterial LSU rRNA". It matches the Rfam family "Bacterial large subunit ribosomal RNA", at positions 296 to 2443 of the family's 2925-position model. The record is from RNAcentral.
UAGGACUGCAAUAUGUAACUUUAAUCUUUAACUGAAUGCUUUGGGAAGAGCAGCGAUACAGGGUGACAGCCCCGUAAGUGAAAAGGAUUGAGUGCUAGCAGUAUCCAGAGUACCAGCGGACACGUGAAACCCGCUGGGAAGAUGGGGGGACCAUCCUCCAAGCCUAAAUACUACUCAGUGACCGAUAGUGGAGCAGUACCGUGAGGGAAAGGUGAAAAGUACCCCGGGAGGGGAGUGAAAAAGAACCUGAAACCUUGUGCCUACAAGCACCGAGAGCACGUUAAAGUGUGAUCGGGUACUUUUUGUAGAACGGUCCGGCGAGUUAAUAUUUGCAGCGAGGUUAAGGAACUGGAGUUCCGGAGCCGUAGCGAGAGCGAGUCUGAAAAGGGCGUAUGAAGUUGCAGGUAUUAGACCCGAAACCGGGUGACCUAUCCAUGAGCAGGCUGAAGCGGUGGUAAGACACCGUGGAGGGCCGCACCCACGUCUGUUGAAAAAGCCGGGGAUGACUUGUGGAUAGCGGAGAAAUUCCAAUCGAACUCGGAGAUAGCUGGUUCUCCCCGAAAUAGCUUUAGGGCUAGCGUUAUUUUAGAUUACCGGAGGUAAAGCACUGAAUGGUCUAGGGGCCGCGAGGUUACCAAAGCCUAUCAAACUCUGAAUGCCGGAUAAUUGAUGAAUAGCAGUCAGACUGUGUGAGAUAAGUCUCAUAGUCAAAAGGGAAACAGCCCAGAUCUACAGCUAAGGUCCCAAAUGAACACUAAGUGGAAAAUGAUGUGAAACUGCGAAGACAACCAGGAUGUUGGCUUAGAAGCAGCCACUCAUUCAAAGAGUGCGUAAUAGCUCACUGGUCGAGUGGUUUUGCGCAGAAAAUGUAACGGGGCUAAGUGUUCAACCGAAGCUUAGGCAUUGCAGUAAUGCAUUGGGUAGGGGAGCGUCGUAUGCGGGGCGAAGUCAGAGCGGAAGCACUGGUGGACUGCAUACGAGUGAGAAUGCCGGAAUAAGUAGCGAGAAUUAUGUGAGAAUCAUAAUGGCCGAAAAUCUAAGGUUUCUUGGGGAAGGUUCGUCCGCCCAAGGUUAGUCGGGAGCUAAGCUCAGGCCGAAAGGCGUAGGCGAUGCACAUACGGUAGAAAUUCCGUAACCACCGAACAUUUAAGCUAGAGGGACGCUUUCUUUAAGGUUAUCCCGGGCGAUGGUUGCCCCGGGCGUAAGGGACCGAAAUUUAGUAGGGAAGUAACUGGCGAGAGAGACGAGAAAAGCUCUAGUGUAUACUAAGGUGCCCGUACCGCAAACCGACACAGGUAGAUGGGAUGAGUAUUCUAAGGCCAACGGGAGAAGGGUUGUUAAGGAACUCGGCAAAUUGGCCCCGUAACUUCGGGAUAAGGGGCGCCUGCGAGAGCAGGCCGCAGUGAAAAGGCCCAAGCGACUGUUUAGCAAAAACACAGCUCUCUGCUAAAUCGAAAGAUGACGUAUAGGGGGUGACGCCUGCCCGGUGCUGGAAGGUUAAGGGGAGUGCUUAGCGCAAGCGAAGGUGCGAACUUAAGCCCCAGUAAACGGCGGCCGUAACUAUAACGGUCCUAAGGUAGCGAAAUUCCUUGUCAGGUAAGUUCUGACCCGCACGAAUGGCGUAACGAUUUGGGCACUGUCUCAACAGCCCGCCCGGCGAAAUUGUAGUACCGGUGAAGAUGCCGGUUUCCCGCAACUAGACGGAAAGACCCCAUGGAGCUUCACUGUAGCUUGAUAUUGGAUCUCGGUAUUCCAUGUACAGGAUAGGUGGGAGGCUAGGAAGUAAGCGCGCCAGCGUUUAUGGAGCCAACCUUGGGAUACCACUCUUGGGAUAUUGGGAUUCUAACCUGCGACCAUGAAUCUGGUCGGGGGACACUGUCAGGUGGGCAGUUUGACUGGGGCGGUCGCCUCCAAAAGAGUAACGGAGGCGCUCAAAGGUUCGUUCAGCACGGAUGGAAAUCGUGCACUGAGUGUAAACGCAUAAACGAGCCUAACUGCGAGAAUGACGGUUCGAGCAGUAACGAAAGUUGGAGUUAGUGAUCCGGCGGUAUGUGAAUGGAAAUGCC